GAUGAACGCUGGCGGCGUGCCUAAUACAUGCAAGUCGAGCGAACAGACGAGGAGCUUGCUCCUCUGACGUUAGCGGCGGACGGGUGAGUAACACGUGGAUACCCUACCUAUAAGACUGGGAAAACUUCGGGAAACCGGAGCUAAUACCGGAGAAUAUAUUGAACCGCAUGGGUCAAUAGUGAAAGACGGUUUUGCUGUCACUUAUAGAUGGAUCCGCGCCGCAUUAGCUAGUUGGUAAGGUAACGGCUUACCAAGGCAACGAUGCGUAGCCGACCUGAGAGGGUGAUCGGCCACACUGGAACUGAGACACGGUCCAGACUCCUACGGGAGGCAGCAGUAGGGAAUCUUCCGCAAUGGGCGAAAGCCUGACGGAGCAACGCCGCGUGAGUGAUGAAGGUCUUCGGAUCGUAAAACUCUGUUAUUAGGGAAGAACAAAUGUGUAAGUAACUAUGCACGUCUUGACGGUACCUAAUCAGAAAGCCACGGCUAACUACGUG
Molecule: ribosomal RNA, 497 nt
Filed under: uncultured bacterium
Lineage: Bacteria
Description: partial 16S ribosomal RNA
Rfam family: Bacterial small subunit ribosomal RNA
Source: RNAcentral